CUGCCGCCGCCGCCCGCUCGCUCGCGCUCCCCGCCCGCCGCCCGCUGUCCUCCGGCGGUUCUUUCGUUAGUCCCCUGUCUCGUCUUCAGUUUACCAGUCUUCAUCUCCGAGCUUGCGACUCGCGAACAGGGGUCUUCGGCGAAAAGAGGCUAGACUCAAAGUCGUCGCUUGAGCAAUGGCUGCUACCGGAAAAGACUGGUGAUUGUUGGUGAUGGAGCCUGUAGCAAGACAUGCUUGCUCAUAGUCUUCAGCAAGGACCAGUUCCCAGAGGUAUAUGUGCCUACAGUGUUUGGGAACUAUAUGGCAGAUAUUGAAGUGGAUGGAAAACGGGUAGAGUUGGCCUUGUGGGACACAGCUGGGCAGGAAGAUUAUGAUCGUCUGAGGCCGCUCUCCUACCCAGAUACCGAUGUUAUAUUGAUGUUUCUCCAUCGACAGCUCUAAGAGUUUAGAAAACAUCCCAGAAAAAUGGACUCGCGAAGUCAAGAAUUUCUGUCCCAACGUGCCCAUCAUCCUGGUUGGGAACAAGAAGGAUCUUCGGAAUGAUGAGCACACAAGGCGGGAGCUAGCCAAGAUGAAGCAGGAGCCGGUAAAACUUGAAGAAGGCAGAGAUAUGGCAAACAAGAUUGACGCUUUUGGGUACAUGGAGUGUUCAGCAAAGACCAAAGAUGGAGUGAGGGAGGUUUAUGAAAUGGCUAGGAGAGCUGCUCUGCAAGCCAGGCAUGGGAAGAAAAAAUCUGGGUGCCUUGUCUUGUGAAACCUUGCUGCAAGCACAGCCCUUAUGCGGUUAAUUUUGAAGUGCUGUUUAUUAAUCUUAGUGUAUGAUUACUGGCCUUUUUCAUUUAUCUAUAAUUUACCUAAGAUUACAAAUCAGAAGUCAUCUUGCUACCAGUA
Molecule: RNA transcript, 891 nt
Organism: Carlito syrichta (Philippine tarsier)
Lineage: Eukaryota; Metazoa; Chordata; Mammalia; Primates; Tarsiidae
Gene name: transforming protein RhoA pseudogene
Exons: 2
Source: RefSeq, a predicted model, not a curated record